RNAcentral lists this ribosomal RNA (496 nucleotides) under uncultured bacterium. RNAcentral describes it as "partial 16S ribosomal RNA". It matches the Rfam family "Bacterial small subunit ribosomal RNA", at positions 28 to 507 of the family's 1533-position model. The record is from RNAcentral.
GACGAACGCUGGCGGCGUGCCUAAUACAUGCAAGUUGAGCGGACAAAGAGGAGCUUGCUCCUCGAUGUUAGCGGCGGACGGGUGAGUAACACGUGGGCAACCUGCCUGUAAGACUGGGAUAACUUCGGGAAACCGGAGCUAAUACCGGAUAAUGCUUUUGAACUCAUGUUCGAAAGCUGAAAGAUGGUUUCGGCUAUCACUUACAGAUGGGCCCGCGGCGCAUUAGCUAGUUGGUGAGGUAACGGCUCACCAAGGCAACGAUGCGUAGCCGACCUGAGAGGGUGAUCGGCCACACUGGGGCUGAGACACGGCCCAGACUCCUACGGGAGGCAGCAGUAGGGAAUCUUCUGCAAUGGACGAAAGUCUGACGGAGCAACGCCGCGUGAGUGAUGAAGGUUUUCGGAUCGUAAAACUCUGUUGUUAGGGAAGAACAAGUACCGGAGUAACUGCCGGUACCUUGACGGUACCUAACCAGAAAGCCACGGCUAACUACGUG